GGCGGAUUCGUCUAACGGUUAGGACGCCAGUUUCUCACACUGGAAAUAGGGGUUCGAUUCCCCUAUCCGCUACCA
Molecule: transfer RNA, 75 nt
Filed under: Muribaculum sp.
Lineage: Bacteria; Pseudomonadati; Bacteroidota; Bacteroidia; Bacteroidales; Muribaculaceae
Description: tRNA-Glu
Rfam family: tRNA
About the family: Transfer RNA (tRNA) molecules are approximately 80 nucleotides in length. Their secondary structure includes four short double-helical elements and three loops (D, anti-codon, and T loops).
Source: RNAcentral